GCCACAGUAGUACAGUGGUUAGUAUCUAGGUUUUCCAUACCUAUGACCCUGGUUCGAUUCCUGGCUGUGGCA
Hanseniaspora osmophila is the source of this 72-nucleotide transfer RNA. It matches the Rfam family "tRNA". Rfam says of the family: Transfer RNA (tRNA) molecules are approximately 80 nucleotides in length. Their secondary structure includes four short double-helical elements and three loops (D, anti-codon, and T loops). Further hydrogen bonds mediate the characteristic L-shaped molecular structure. tRNAs have two regions of fundamental functional importance: the anti-codon, which is responsible for specific mRNA codon recognition, and the 3' end, to which the tRNAs corresponding amino acid is attached (by aminoacyl-tRNA synthetases). tRNAs cope with the degeneracy of the genetic code in two manners: having more than one tRNA (with a specific anti-codon) for a particular amino acid; and 'wobble' base-pairing, i.e. permitting non-standard base-pairing at the 3rd anti-codon position. The record is from Rfam. NCBI's taxonomy places the organism in Eukaryota, Fungi, Ascomycota, Saccharomycetes, Saccharomycodales, Saccharomycodaceae.